UAGUCAGAUUCGUUAACCAUUGAGCCACGAUGGGAACUCUGAGCCAUGAUGGGAACUCCCAGGAUCCAAUUUUUAAACUUUGUGACCCUGUAUAUUGUUAUCUCCAUUUUAGCUCAGGAGGGCCUGGCUAAGCAGCCUGGAGUCGCCACAGCAAGGCCUGCUGCGACUAAGGGCUCUCCGCCUCUGCCUCAGGGAGCAGGUGCAGGCACUCACUUUUUCCAGUGGUCCUCUCGGUCUGAUUUAAUGGAUAUACCAGGACUGAUGACACAUCAGCACGGGAUCUUGCUGCUGCUUCUUGGGUAAUUGUCCUAUUAACAGCUGUCCCAGGCGAAGGGGGGGCGGUGCGGAGGAGUGGGGAGGGAGGGAGGAGGGUGACUUCCUGGGUAAAGGACACACCCUGGAUUUUACAAGGCGGUGUGCACCUGCUCAGACUUGAUCUGGGCUCUAGACAGAGGGGAAGACUGUCUUUUGAUCUCCACUCCCUACACUGAAGACUGUUAAAUAUUCUAGGUGCCGACACCCUGCCGGGCCUCAUGGCUGCUGCUGAGAUUGUCUCUGUAUCUUUAUUCUUCUCAGCCCUUGCAGUGGGUCAGCAGGUUUUUUGUUUGUUCGGGUUUUUGUUUUUUUGUUUUUUUGCUUUUUAGGUAUGCACCCGCAGCAUGUGGAAGUUCCCAGGCUAGGGGUUGAAUUGGAGCUGCAGAUGCUGGCCUACACCGCAGGCCCAAUGACACGAAUACUUAAGCCACUGAGCGAGGCCAGGGAUCAAACCUGCGAACCUAUGGAUAUUAGUCCGUUUUGUUACUACUGAGCCAUGAUGGGAACUCCAGGGCCAGCAAAUCUUUGUCUUUCCCUUUUGCCUUCCCAGCUUUAUAUAACUGCUGAGGAAACUUUUUCUUCCACCCCCAGUCAUUCUUUAACCCAGUAACACAGUUCCUGAGCCACCUUUUUCCCACUUUACAGUCAAACAAUCAUUAUACACAUUCAAACAUAGUACUUGCAGUGGGGAGGCAAACGAAAACAAACAGGCGAGGAUGGGCAAAAACCAAAGAGGUUUCCUCACUCCUUCUCUAAGGAUUAACAUGGAGCCCCUCUUGUUCUCAGUGCCUGCCACUCUCUCCCCACCCAGGAUCCCAGAAAGGAAGGGAAAGGAGGGGAUGAAUAAGAGGUCCAGCGCAGCAAACAUGUGAGCCAUUGAAAAGUUACCAAAAGAAGUUAGGCUUUCAAAGUGAUGUGAGAGCAUCACCUGUUAUCUCCCCAGGGUAGCUCUACCCACAACUGCCAUUUCAGUGAAUAUUUACUUUGAUUUUAUGUUAGUCUUUUUGUGUGUGUGUGUCUUUUUUUCCAUUUUCUUGGGCCGCUCCCGCAGCAUAUGCAGGUUCCCAGGCCAGGGGUUGAAUCGGAGCUGUAGCUGCCAGCCUACGCCAGAGCCAUAGCAAUGCAGGAUCCGAGCGGCAUCGGCGACCUACAGCACAGCUCACGGCAACGCCAGAUCCUUGACCCACUGAGCGAGGCCAGGGAUCGAACCGGCAACCUCAUGGUUCCUAGUCAGAUUCGUUAACCACUGAGCCAUGACAGGAACUCCUUAUGUUAGUCUCAUCUAGUCAACAUAACUUUCUUUCUUUCUUUCUUUCUUUUUUUUUUUUUUUUUGUCUUUUUAGGGCCGCACCCUGGCAUAUGGAAGGUCCCAGGCUAGGUGUCCAAUCGGAGCUGUAGCUGCCGGCCUACACCACAGCCACAGCAAUGCCAGAUUCAAGCCUUGCCUGCAACUUUCACCACAGCUCAGAGCAACGUGGGAUCCUUAACCCACUGAAUGAGGCCAGGGAUGGAACUCAUAUUCUCAUGGAUUCUAAUCAGGUUCGUUACCGCUGAGCCACAAUGGGAACUCCAACAUGCCUUUUUUCUUAUCCCAGGUACCUGAUACCCUGCUAUGCAGCUCAAAAGAAACUUGCAAAAUACAAGGGGGCUGUCUAAAACACUCAAAUUUUGUUGGCACUAGGGUUCCCUGACUCCCUAUAAAGGAUUGCCCAGUUGUUUCACAAUUAAACCUUUCGUGUUAAGGUUUAAAAUUGUUCUCUAUUUGCUGUGUCAAACAGCCACUCUUAGUAUAAAAUUUCCCCUUCCAUCAUCUCAAAAAGAGUUUUGUAAACUUAGUCUACCCUUAAUAUAUUUUAGUGUAUGGUUUUAAACUAUUUCCUUAUUUUUAUUUUUAUUCACGUAUUUAUUUUUGCUUUUUAGGGCCGCACCGGUGGCAUAUGGAGGUUCUCAGGCUAGCGGUCCAAUCAGAGCUACAGCUACUAGCCUAUGCCACAGCCACAGAAACAUCAGGUCUGAGCCUCGUCUGUGACCUACACCACAACUCACGGAAACACUGGAUCCUUAACCCACUGAGCGAGGCCAGGGAUCAAACCUGCAACCUUAUGGUUCCUAGUCGGAUUCAUUUCUGCUGUGCCAUGACUGGAACUACUGUUUCCUUAUUUUUUGAGUUACUGAUCAUACCUUAAUUUCUCUUGCUUUCUUUUUUUUUUUGUCUUUUGUCUUUUGUUGUUGUUGCUAUUUCUUGGGCCGAUCCCACGGCAUAUGGAGGUUCCCAGGCUAGGGGUCCAAUCGGAGCUGUAGCCACCGGCCUAAGCCAGAGCCACAGCAACGCGGGAUCCGAGCCUCGUCUGCAACCUACACCACAGCUCAUGGCAACGCCGGAUCGUUAACCCACUGAGCAAGGGCAGGGACCGAAGCCGCAACCUCAUGGUUCCUAGUCAGAUUCGUUAACCACUGCGCCACGACGGGAACUCCCUCUCUUGCUUUCUUAUACAAGAGCAGUAUUUACCUUCGUGGUCUUACUAAAGGGCUGAAGGGUCACCCCUUUCCUUGAUAACAUGCCACAUCUUCAGCCACACCCUCCAAGUUGAUGGGUGCCUUUAACCACAGGCCUGCCUGUUUUUGUUCCCCUUCGAUUAUUAAGCAAGCAUUUAUUGAGUGUCUAAGUAGCAGGCACUUUUCUAGGUUUUGAAGACUCCACAGUCAGUGCACAAGAUUCUAGUCCUUGUGGCGUUUGUAUUCUAGCAAUUUCUGGGAGAGAAAUAGUAAGACGAAGAAAUAAAAUGUGCUCUCUGAAUCUGACUUUGAAACAGGUAGCCAGCGUUUACGUUUUUUAAAGAUUCAAUGAAUGGAUGCUACUGUGUACUUCCAUAUGGCGAAAGUGCUUUAUAAUCUGGGAACCACCUCGAAUUAAGCCGCCUAACUCUCCAAACACGUGAUGGACUCAAUGUUCUCACCGAAUGACUUACCAGUUAGCCUUGUCCUUGAUUGUACAAGGACCAGUGACUCGCCCACUAGAUUAGUGGGAUCUUCCAAGGAGUCAAGAAUUUGAGUCAAUGCCUCUUUGUCCCACAGCUAGGAACAACUCACUACAUA
Molecule: long non-coding RNA, 3411 nt
Filed under: Sus scrofa (pig)
Lineage: Eukaryota; Metazoa; Chordata; Mammalia; Artiodactyla; Suidae
Description: lncRNA (ENSSSCG00025006653.1)
Source: RNAcentral